UUUGAAAUCUGGCUCUCGGGCCCGAGUUGUAAUUUGUAGAGGAUACUUUUGAUGCGGUGCCUUCCGAGUUCCCUGGAACGGGACGCCAUAGAGGGUGAGAGCCCCGUCUGGUUGGAUGCCAAAUCUCUGUAAAGUUCCUUCGACGAGUCGAGUAGUUUGGGAAUGCUGCUCUAAAUGGGAGGUAUAUGUCUUCUAAAGCUAAAUACCGGCCAGAGACCGAUAGCGCACAAGUAGAGUGAUCGAAAGAUGAAAAGCACUUUGAAAAGAGAGUUAAAAAGUACGUGAAAUUGUUGAAAGGGAAGCGUUUAUGACCAGACUUGGGCUUGGUUAAUCAUCUGGGGUUCUCCCCAGUGCACUUUUCCAGUCCAGGCCAGCAUCAGUUUUCGCCGGGGGAUAAAGACUUCGGGAAUGUGGCUCUCUUCGGGGAGUGUUAUAGCCCGUUGUGUAAUACCCUGGCGGG
This 460-nucleotide ribosomal RNA is filed under the name Fusarium sp. E24. Its description in RNAcentral is "eukaryotic LSU rRNA". It matches the Rfam family "Eukaryotic large subunit ribosomal RNA", at positions 114 to 585 of the family's 3401-position model. Lineage: Eukaryota; Fungi; Ascomycota; Sordariomycetes; Hypocreales; Nectriaceae. The record is from RNAcentral.